UUCGCUGAAACAAACGUCGUCGUUUGGUUAGCUCCGCUCGUCGUUUUAAACAAGAUAUCAGAAAAAGUGAAUCAGCGAAGGAUUCUUCUUUCUAUUUGAGUUUACUUUUUCUUUUCUUUGAAAGUAACAGAUUGAAGAAAAUGUUGGAGAAGAUCGGUUUACCUUCAAAACCAUCACUCAGAGGGAAUAAUUGGGUAGUUGAUGCUUCUCAUUGCCAAGGAUGUUCUUCUCAGUUCACUUUCAUCAAUCGCAAGGUUUAGUUCCACAGCAGAAUGUCUCUAACUUUGUACCUUACUCCAGUAUGUUUGAGGUGUUUAAUAUUGCCGAAGGACUCUUGUGAACAUUAUUCUCGACAAAAUGAUCUUAUGUUGAAUUCCAAGUGUACAGCUGAUCCUCCCAAAUAUUAUUCCUGAAUAGCGUUGCAAUCAGAGUACUUUUGCGAUAAACAGGUUUAUUGAGAGAAAAGAGAUAUAUUGGGAAAGAUACGGGGCGAAUUUAUAUUUUAGGCUUAGUGGCAAGACUGAAAUGCUCGCUUACAAUAGAUUUCUGAAUUCUUUUACUUGGAUUUGUGUUGAACUUUGGAUGUGAACAAGCUUGCUCAGUACAUCUUUAUCUUUGUUCCAGCUCCACCAAUUCGCAAGAAAAAGAUAAUAGUAUAUGCAGUAUGAUACUGCUUCCAUUGUACUCCACCAUCUGUUGAGGAUGCAUUAUACAAGAAAAUAAGCUCGACAAAAAAUCUGAUACCUUCAGAGGUAGUAAAGUCACCAAGAGAAAGUUUAAGCAAACCCAAUAGCUCAUCAUUCUCCUAUUUCAUGGGAAUAUGAACCUCUUUCUGCAACGAAUUGGGAGCAAGAAAUUACAAUCUCACAUAUUUUAUUGUACUUUAACUAUGGCUGUGGAUGUCUUUAGUAGAUUUCUAGAUUUCCUCUAGACCAGCUCAAUUGGCUGAUGCUAUUAACUUUUCUCCACCUCCUCAUCUAGAUAAUGCAUGUCAUUUUGACCCAAGUGCUUAGUGACGCAUCUUGCAGAGAACUCUAUUGUGUUCCAAAUAUAGAGGAAUCACCUGACUUUCCACUUUAGUGGGUGCUAUUUCAAGCUGGUCCUCCUUCAGUACAAAAGCCAAUUUUCUAGAGUUGAAAGGGUGUGCAGUAUAGGCAAUAUAUUCAUCAGAAAA
Molecule: non-coding RNA, 1174 nt
Organism: Solanum lycopersicum (tomato)
Lineage: Eukaryota; Viridiplantae; Streptophyta; Magnoliopsida; Solanales; Solanaceae
Source: RefSeq, a predicted model, not a curated record